Molecule: ribosomal RNA, 441 nt
Filed under: uncultured bacterium
Lineage: Bacteria
Description: bacterial SSU rRNA
Rfam family: Bacterial small subunit ribosomal RNA
Source: RNAcentral
CCUACGGGAGGCAGCAGUGGGGAAUAUUGCACAAUGGGGGAAACCCCGAUGUAGCAACGCCGCGUGAGCGAUGAAGGCCUUCGGGUCGUAAAGCUCUGUCCUCAGGGAAGAAUACUGACGGUACCUUAGGAGGAAGCCACGGCUAACUACGUGCCAGCAGCCGCGGUAAUACGUAGGUGGCGAGCGUUGUCCGGAAUUACUGGGUGUAAAGGGUGCGUAGGCGGGUAUAUAAGUCAGAUGUGAAAUACCGGGGAUCAACUCCGGUGCUGCAUUGGAAACUAUAUAGCUUGAGUGCAGGGGAGGAAAGCGGAAUUCCUAGUGUAGCGGUGAACUGCGUAGAGAUUAGGAGGUACACCAGUGGCGAAGGCGGCUUUCUGGACUGGAACUGACGCUGAGGCACGAAAGCGUGGGGAGCGAACAGGAUUAGAUACCCCGGUAGUC